This 266-nucleotide ribosomal RNA is filed under the name uncultured bacterium. Its description in RNAcentral is "partial 16S ribosomal RNA". It matches the Rfam family "Bacterial small subunit ribosomal RNA", at positions 793 to 1055 of the family's 1533-position model. The record is from RNAcentral.
GUCCACGCUGUAAACGAUGAGCACUCGAUGUGCGAGGUUUACGACCCCUCGCGUGUCACAGCUAACGCAUUAAGUGCUCCGCCUGGGGAUUACGGUCGCAAGACUAAAACUCAAAGGAAUUGACUGGGGCCCCGCACAAGCGGUGGAGGAUGUGGUUUAAUUCGACGCAACGCGAAGAACCUUACCUGGGCUUGACAUCCCGUGACCGCGCCAGAGAUGGCGUUUCCUCUUCGGAGGCACGGAGACAGGUGCUGCAUGGCUGUCGU